GUGCUUGCUUCGGCAGCACAUAUACUAAAAUUGGAACGAUAUAGAGAAGAUUAACAUGGCCCCUGCGCAAGGAUGACACGCAAAUUCGUGAAGUGUUCCAUAUAAAA
RNAcentral lists this small nuclear RNA (107 nucleotides) under Sorex araneus (European shrew). Lineage: Eukaryota; Metazoa; Chordata; Mammalia; Eulipotyphla; Soricidae. The record is from RNAcentral.